Molecule: transfer RNA, 75 nt
Filed under: Microcaldota archaeon
Lineage: Archaea; Nanobdellati; Microcaldota
Description: tRNA-Arg
Rfam family: tRNA
About the family: Transfer RNA (tRNA) molecules are approximately 80 nucleotides in length. Their secondary structure includes four short double-helical elements and three loops (D, anti-codon, and T loops).
Source: RNAcentral
GGGCCUGUAGCUCAGCCUGGAUAGAGCGAAUGUCUCCUAAGCAUUAGGUCGGGGGUUCGAAUCCCCCCAGGCCCG